UGGGGCUUGAAUUAAUGACCCUGAGAUCAAAACCUGAGGUGAAGAUUUACUGUUUUUCCCUUGAAAAGAUUUUAGAAGUGAGGUAAUAGAUGUUUUUCCAGAGUAUUCAUCACCAGCAUCUGUUCUCAAGCAAGGGGGAAGGGCCUUGCCCGAACUUCUGUCAGUGUGUGUUUCAGAGCUGAGUGCCCAGCCCGCUCUUGACCUGUGAGUGGCCACAGCUUUAGUGUGGGUUUCUGUAGCUAGAGGGGAGGAAAAGAGUAUGAUCUGGAGUUGGCGGGAGUGGGGGCGUUUCCUAGAACUCUUUCUCCUAUUAAAUAAUGCUACUGCAUAUAGGCCUCUUUAAAGGAGAAAUGGUAGGACCUCAUGGAAGUAAUUGUGCUGUGUGGCAGGAGCAGUUCUUCCACAGGUUUAUGCCACUUCGAUCCAAGAACCAGGCAGUGAAUUUUAAUAUAGUAAAACUUACAUGAAA
Long non-coding RNA from Mustela erminea (ermine), 469 nucleotides. RefSeq lists it as uncharacterized. The record is from RefSeq and is a predicted model, not a curated record. NCBI's taxonomy places the organism in Eukaryota, Metazoa, Chordata, Mammalia, Carnivora, Mustelidae. The transcript has 2 exons.